This 435-nucleotide ribosomal RNA is filed under the name uncultured Flavobacterium sp. RNAcentral describes it as "bacterial SSU rRNA". It matches the Rfam family "Bacterial small subunit ribosomal RNA", at positions 358 to 789 of the family's 1533-position model. Lineage: Bacteria; Pseudomonadati; Bacteroidota; Flavobacteriia; Flavobacteriales; Flavobacteriaceae. The record is from RNAcentral.
GGAAUAUUGGUCAAUGGAGGCAACUCUGAACCAGCCAUGCCGCGUGCAGGAUGACGGUCCUAUGGAUUGUAAACUGCUUUUGUACAGGAAGAAACCGCUCUACGUGUAGAGCCUUGACGGUACUGUAAGAAUAAGGAUCGGCUAACUCCGUGCCAGCAGCCGCGGUAAUACGGAGGAUCCAAGCGUUAUCCGGAAUCAUUGGGUUUAAAGGGUCCGUAGGCGGCUUAGCAAGUCAGUGGUGAAAUCUCCCCGCUCAACGGGGAAACGGCCAUUGAUACUACUAGGCUUGAAUUAUUAGGAAGUAACUAGAAUAUGUAGUGUAGCGGUGAAAUGCUUAGAUAUUACAUGGAAUACCAAUUGCGAAGGCAGGUUACUACUAAUUGAUUGACGCUGAUGGACGAAAGCGUGGGGAGCGAACAGGAUUAGAUACCCCUG